Humulus lupulus (European hop) is the source of this 251-nucleotide long non-coding RNA. RefSeq lists it as uncharacterized. The record is from RefSeq and is a predicted model, not a curated record. The transcript has 4 exons. Lineage: Eukaryota; Viridiplantae; Streptophyta; Magnoliopsida; Rosales; Cannabaceae.
CUGAUUAGAUCGAGCCAAAGGCUUGAAGAACUCAACAAAGAGAUUCUGCAGAUGGAAGAUAAGUUAGAAGAGAAAGGAAAAUCUGUUUUGCACUUGCAGCAGAAGUCCAAGAAAUUGGAAGACUCUUUGAUUAAUGCAAAGAAAACCUCAUCAUACAAUAAGACACAGUUGACCAAGCUUCACAAAUGUUUUCUGCAAGUAAAAGAUUAUACGGAAAGACUUAAAAGCAGUGAAAAACAACUUCAGGUUGG